This 73-nucleotide transfer RNA is filed under the name Cryptosporangium aurantiacum. It matches the Rfam family "tRNA". From Rfam's summary of the family: Transfer RNA (tRNA) molecules are approximately 80 nucleotides in length. The record is from Rfam by way of RNAcentral. Lineage: Bacteria; Bacillati; Actinomycetota; Actinomycetes; Cryptosporangiales; Cryptosporangiaceae.
GCGCCGCUAGCUCAGAGGCCAGAGCAGCUGACUCUUAAUCAGUGGGUCCCGGGUUCGACUCCCGGGCGGCGUA